RNAcentral lists this ribosomal RNA (250 nucleotides) under uncultured bacterium. RNAcentral describes it as "partial 16S ribosomal RNA". It matches the Rfam family "Bacterial small subunit ribosomal RNA", at positions 524 to 773 of the family's 1533-position model. The record is from RNAcentral.
UACGUAGGAGGCGAGCGUUAUCCGGAUUUACUGGGCGUAAAGAGCGCGUAGGCGGUUUCGUAAGUUGGGCGUGAAAGCCCCCGGCUUAACUGGGGAGGGUCGUUCAAUACUGCGGGACUUGAGGGUGGAAGAGGGGACUGGAAUUCCCGGUGUAGUGGUGAAAUGCGUAGAUAUCGGGAGGAACACCUGUGGCGAAGGCGAGUCCCUAGGCCACUUCUGACGCUGAGGCGCGAAAGCGUGGGGAGCGAAC